This 1128-nucleotide long non-coding RNA is filed under the name Accipiter nisus (Eurasian sparrowhawk). RNAcentral's name for it is "lncRNA (ENSANIG00000016933.1)". Lineage: Eukaryota; Metazoa; Chordata; Aves; Accipitriformes; Accipitridae. The record is from RNAcentral.
AGACCAAAGCAAGCAAGCAACAAAACAACCCGCGGACAGGAUGCGGAUACGCAGACAGCCCCGCACUUCAGCUCUGAGAAAGUACGCCAGCCACGCGAAAAGAAACUUGACAGUACUUUUGAGCCGUGGCGUGGGCUCGUUUCAUUUGGCUUUCUUUUCGUGGGCGAAAAAGGCUGCUGGCUGGUGAGCCUCGAGAGUUGGAGGCCCCGCCGCUGCUGCUGCCCCGGGGCCCCCUCCCGGCCUCCCCCUCCUGAGGGGACGAUCGCCCCGCAGCCCACAACCCCCCCCAGCGCCGGCGGGGGCUGGGCCCGCAGGCCCUUUGACAGAUCUCGGCAACGAACCGGCGGGAACAGAGCACAAGGCAGGCGGGGACGCCGGAAUCCGACGGCGACCGAGGCGGCCCCCGGGCGAGGCCGUGGCCGAGGCGAGCGGGCCGGGCCCCUCCGCCGGCUCCCGCUCCCCGCCACGCCUCAGGCGCCCUCACUCUCUGGGGCCGCCCCCUGCGGGCGUUGGUACAGCCCCGCCCGGCGCUCCCCCGCCCCACCGAGGGAUGGAACCUCCCGCACAAAACCGUUUAAAUUCGAGCCCUCAACGGUCGCUUUCCCCUCCGCCACUGGCAGGUGCCCGGGGCUCGCGCCCCCGCGAGCGCGGUGGCGUCACACAGGCUGCAGCGCGAGCCGAGGGAAGCUGCGCCGCCCCACCCCUCCCGCGCCCGCUUUUAACCUCAUUCACGCUUUGGUUCCCUCGCGCCCACCCCCCGCCCAACGGCCCGCCGAUGCCGUGCGCACGCGCAGUGGCGCCGCGCCGCCCUCCCCGUCGUGCACGCGCUCGCCCCCUCUCCUCCCUCUCCCCCCCCACCCCCCAACUCCGCGCGCCGCCGUGUGGGCGGGGCGCGCGACCGAGCGCCUCCGGGGGGGGCGGGUGAGGGAGGGGGGGGGCGCGGGAGCGCCAGGGCCGCGGCGGCGGGAGCGGCAGCCUCUCGGCCGGCGGCAGCGGUCCCCGGUGCGUGGGCUCCGUCGGCGGCCCUCUGCCUCCUUCCCUCUCCGCGUUCCCCUGGGGACGGCUUCGGGCAAGCCUCCCCUCGCCGCCCCCGCCCCGUUCUCUUCCUCUCCGCUCGCUUGCGUGUGA